UCGGGAUAUAGCGCAGUUUGGUAGCGCGCCUGCUUUGGGAGCAGGAUGUCGCAGGUUCGAAUCCUGCUAUCCCGAG
Molecule: transfer RNA, 76 nt
Filed under: Sciadococcus taiwanensis
Lineage: Eukaryota; Rhodophyta; Bangiophyceae; Cavernulicolales; Cavernulicolaceae
Description: tRNA-Pro
Rfam family: tRNA
About the family: Transfer RNA (tRNA) molecules are approximately 80 nucleotides in length.
Source: RNAcentral